RNAcentral lists this ribosomal RNA (207 nucleotides) under uncultured bacterium. RNAcentral's name for it is "partial 16S ribosomal RNA". It matches the Rfam family "Bacterial small subunit ribosomal RNA", at positions 568 to 774 of the family's 1533-position model. The record is from RNAcentral.
UGCGUAGGUGGUGGGGUAAGUCUCGUGUGAAAGCUCGCAGCUUAACUGCGAAAAGUCACGGGAUACUAUUCCGCUAGAGGCUUGGAGGGGGGACUGGAAUACUUGGUGUAGCAGUGAAAUGCGUAGAUAUCAAGUGGAACACCAGUGGCGAAGGCGAGUCCCUGGACAAGACCUGACACUGAGGCACGAAAGCCAGGGGAGCAAACA